AGCCGCUCUGCCCACACUUUCAAGCGUCGCGCAGCGUGACGUCACGUCCGGCCCGGUGCGGUGAGGACGUCCAAGAUGGCGCUUCCCGCGGCGCUCCUGCGCGCGGCGGCGCUCCGCUGCCGAUUGCCUUUGGCCAACAUCGGGAGGCGCCACCUCGCGGCGGAGGCUUUCGUGCGGGAUCGGCCCCACGUGAACGUGGGAACCAUCGGUCACGUGGACCACGGGAAGACCACGCUGACCGCCGCCAUCACCA
Molecule: non-coding RNA, 253 nt
Organism: Meleagris gallopavo (turkey)
Lineage: Eukaryota; Metazoa; Chordata; Aves; Galliformes; Phasianidae
Source: RefSeq, a predicted model, not a curated record